GACGAACGCUGGCGGCGUGCUUAACACAUGCAAGUCGAACGGAAAGGCCCUGCUUUUGUGGGGUGCUCGAGUGGCGAACGGGUGAGUAACACGUGAGUAACCUGCCCUUGACUUUGGGAUAACUUCAGGAAACUGGGGCUAAUACCGGAUAGGAGCUCCUGCUGCAUGGUGGGGGUUGGAAAGUUUCGGCGGUUGGGGAUGGACUCGCGGCUUAUCAGCUUGUUGGUGGGGUAGUGGUUUACCAAGGCUUUGACGGGUAGCAGGCCUGAGAGGGUGACCGGCCACAUUGGGACUGAGAUACGGCCCAGACUCCUACGGGAGGCAGCAGUGGGGAAUAUUGCACAAUGGGCGGAAGCCUGAUGCAGCAACGCCGCGUGCGGGAUGACGGCCUUCGGGUUGUAAACCGCUUUCGCCUGUGACGAAGCGUGAGUGACGGUAAUGGGUAAAGAAGCACCGGCUAACUACGUG
This 468-nucleotide ribosomal RNA is filed under the name uncultured bacterium. RNAcentral describes it as "partial 16S ribosomal RNA". It matches the Rfam family "Bacterial small subunit ribosomal RNA", at positions 28 to 507 of the family's 1533-position model. The record is from RNAcentral.